UACGUAGGGGGCUAGCGUUGUCCGGAAUCAUUGGGCGUAAAGCGCGUGUAGGCGGCCCGAUAAGUCCGCUGUGAAAGUCGGGGGCUCAACCCUCGGAUGCCGGUGGAUACUGUCGGGCUUGAGUACGGAAGAGGCGAGUGGAAUUCCUGGUGUAGCGGUGAAAUGCGCAGAUAUCAGGAGGAACACCAAUGGCGAAGGCAGCUCGCUGGGACGUGACUGACGCUGAGACGCGAAAGCGUGGGGAGCAAACAGG
This 253-nucleotide ribosomal RNA is filed under the name uncultured bacterium. RNAcentral's name for it is "partial 16S ribosomal RNA". It matches the Rfam family "Bacterial small subunit ribosomal RNA", at positions 524 to 776 of the family's 1533-position model. The record is from RNAcentral.